Molecule: ribosomal RNA, 440 nt
Filed under: uncultured bacterium
Lineage: Bacteria
Description: bacterial SSU rRNA
Rfam family: Bacterial small subunit ribosomal RNA
Source: RNAcentral
CCUACGGGGGGCAGCAGUGGGGAAUAUUGCACAAUGGGGGAAACCCUGAUGCAGCAACGCCGCGUGAGCGAUGAAGGCCUUCGGGUCGUAAAGCUCUGUCCUAAGGGAAGAAUACUGACGGUACCUUAGGAGGAGGCCCCGGCUAACUACGUGCCAGCAGCCGCGGUAAUACGUAGGGCGCUAGCGUUAUCCGGAGUUACUGGGCGUAAAGGGUGCGUAGGCGGCCCUUCGAGUUAGAGGUGAAAGGCUACGGCUCAACCGUAGUACGCCUUUGAAACUGUAGGACUUGAGUGCAGGAGAGGGGAGUGCAAGUCCCAGUGUAGCGGUGAAAUGCGUAGAUAUUGGGAGGAACGCCAGUUGCGAAGGCGGCUCUCUGGACUGUAACUGACGCUGAGCCACGAAAGCGUGGCGGGCGAACAGGAAUAGAUACAGCGGUAGUC